RNAcentral lists this ribosomal RNA (253 nucleotides) under uncultured bacterium. Its description in RNAcentral is "partial 16S ribosomal RNA". It matches the Rfam family "Bacterial small subunit ribosomal RNA", at positions 524 to 776 of the family's 1533-position model. The record is from RNAcentral.
UACAGAGGGUGCAAGCGUUAUUCGGAAUUAUUGGGCAUAAAGCGCAUGUAGGUGGCUUGGUAAGUUUGAUGUGAAAUCCCCGGACUCAAUUCGGGAAGUGCAUUGAAUACUGCCAGGCUAGAGUAUGGGAGAGGUGAGCGGAAUUCCAGGUGUAGAGGUGAAAUUCGUAGAUAUCUGGAGGAACAACAGAGGCGAAGGCGGCUCACUGGACCAUUACUGACACUGAGAUGCGAAAGCGUGGGGAGCAAACAGG